AAGGAUUUAAGUUAAACAAAAACUACCAACCUUCAAAGUUGUAAAUAAAGCUCAACUUUAAGCCUUA
Molecule: transfer RNA, 67 nt
Filed under: Pygoluciola qingyu
Lineage: Eukaryota; Metazoa; Arthropoda; Insecta; Coleoptera; Lampyridae
Also listed under: 1 other name
Description: tRNA-Trp
Source: RNAcentral